Molecule: ribosomal RNA, 497 nt
Filed under: uncultured bacterium
Lineage: Bacteria
Description: partial 16S ribosomal RNA
Rfam family: Bacterial small subunit ribosomal RNA
Source: RNAcentral
GAUGAACGCUGGCGGCGUGCCUAAUACAUGCAAGUCGAGCGAACGGACGAGAAGCUUGCUUCUCUGAUGUUAGCGGCGGACGGGUGAGUAACACGUGGAUAACCUACCUAUAAGACUGGGAUAACUUCGGGAAACCGGAGCUAAUACCGGAUAAUAUUUUGAACCGCAUGGUUCAAAAGUGAAAGACGGUCUUGCUGUCACUUAUCGAUGGAUCCGCGCUGCAUUAGCUAGUUGGUAGGGUAACGGCUUACCAAGGCAACGAUGCAUAGCCGACCUGAGAGGGGGGUCGGCCACACUGGAACUGAGACACGGUCCAGACUCCUACGGGAGGCAGCAGUAGGGAAUCUGACGCAAUGGGCGAAAGCCUGACGGAGCAACGCCGCGUGAGUGAUGAAGGUCUUCGGUUCGUAAAACUCGGUUAUUAGGGGAGAACAUAUGUGUAAGUAACUGUGCACAUCGUGACGGUACCUAGUCAGAAAGCCACGGCUAACUACGUG